Molecule: ribosomal RNA, 376 nt
Filed under: uncultured bacterium
Lineage: Bacteria
Description: bacterial SSU rRNA
Rfam family: Bacterial small subunit ribosomal RNA
Source: RNAcentral
UACGUAGGGACCGAGCGUUGUCCGGAAUCAUUGGGCGUAAAGAGCGUGUAGGCGGCCUUUUAAGUCCUGCGUGAAAUCCUGCGGCUCAACCGCAGACGGUCGUGGGAAACUGGAAGGCUAGAGUGCGGGAGAGGAGAGUGGAAUUCCCGGUGUAGCGGUGAAAUGCGCAGAUAUCGGGAAGAACACCCGUGGCGAAGGCGGCUCUCUGGAACGCAACUGACGCUGAGACGCGAAAGCGUGGGGAGCAAACAGGAUUAGAUACCCUGGUAGUCCACGCCGUAAACGAUGGACGCUAGGUGUGGGCGGUGUCGACUCCGUCCGUGCCGAAGCUAACGCAUUAAGCGUCCCGCCUGGGGAGUACGGCCGCAAGGCUAAA